UUUGACCAGUUUGUUGGGGGUUUCGUAUCUUUAACUGAUCGGCGACUCGUGGAAUCCGGUGAGAAUCCGGGACGGUCGCGCCACUGUGAUCACCCGCGGGUGUGAGUCAGACCCCGGGCCGCCGAAAUGUCAUAUCG
RNAcentral lists this non-coding RNA (137 nucleotides) under Nocardia seriolae. Lineage: Bacteria; Bacillati; Actinomycetota; Actinomycetes; Mycobacteriales; Nocardiaceae. The record is from RNAcentral.